RNAcentral lists this non-coding RNA (105 nucleotides) under Rhizobium sp. RNAcentral describes it as "TPP sequence". It matches the Rfam family "TPP riboswitch aptamer (THI element)". Rfam says of the family: Vitamin B(1) in its active form thiamin pyrophosphate (TPP) is an essential coenzyme that is synthesised by coupling of pyrimidine and thiazole moieties in bacteria. The previously detected thiamin-regulatory element, thi box was extended, resulting in a new, highly conserved RNA secondary structure, the THI element, which is widely distributed in eubacteria and also occurs in some archaea. RNAcentral also lists the same sequence under 1 other name. The record is from RNAcentral. Lineage: Bacteria; Pseudomonadati; Pseudomonadota; Alphaproteobacteria; Hyphomicrobiales; Rhizobiaceae.
CGACAUUCCGAGGGGGGCACCGAACGGUGCUGAGAUGGGCGUUGAGCCCGGACCCUUGAACCUGAUCCGGGUCAUACCGGCGUAGGAACGGAAAACAGGUGUCCG